Molecule: transfer RNA, 64 nt
Filed under: Dipodomys ordii (Ord's kangaroo rat)
Lineage: Eukaryota; Metazoa; Chordata; Mammalia; Rodentia; Heteromyidae
Rfam family: tRNA
About the family: Transfer RNA (tRNA) molecules are approximately 80 nucleotides in length. Their secondary structure includes four short double-helical elements and three loops (D, anti-codon, and T loops).
Source: Rfam by way of RNAcentral
GGUGGCUCAGUGGUAGAGCACUUGCCUUGCAUGCAUGAGGCCUGGGCUUGAUUCCUCAGCACCA